GAUGAAGAACGUAGCGAAAUGCGAUAAGUAAUGUGAAUUGCAGAAUUCAGUGAAUCAUCGAAUCUUUGAACGCACAUUGCGCCCGCCAGUAUUCUGGCGGGGAUGCCUGUUCGAGCGUCAUUUCAACCAUCAAGCCCCCGGCUUGUGUUGGGGACCUGCGGCUGCCGCAGGCCCUGAAAAGCAGUGGCGGGCUCGCUGUCACACCGAGCGUAGUAGCAUACAUCUCGCUCUGGGCGUGCUGCGGGUUCCGGCCGUUAAACCACCUUCAUAACCCAAGGUUGACCUCGGAUCAGGUAGGAAGACCCGCUGAACUUAAGCAUAUCAAAAGCGGAGGA
Molecule: unclassified non-coding RNA, 335 nt
Filed under: soil metagenome
Description: partial contains 5.8S ribosomal RNA, internal transcribed spacer 2, and large subunit ribosomal RNA
Rfam family: 5.8S ribosomal RNA (bases 1-120)
Source: RNAcentral